Molecule: ribosomal RNA, 231 nt
Filed under: uncultured bacterium
Lineage: Bacteria
Description: partial 16S ribosomal RNA
Rfam family: Bacterial small subunit ribosomal RNA
Source: RNAcentral
CGGGACGGGUGAGUAAUGUCUGGGAAACUGCCUGAUGGAGGGGGAUAACUACUGGAAACGGUAGCUAAUACCGCAUAACGUCGCAAGACCAAAGAGGGGGACCUUCGGGCCUCUUGCCAUCGGAUGUGCCCAGAUGGGAUUAGCUAGUAGUGGGGUAACGGCUCACCUAGCGACGAUCCCUAGCUGGUCUGAGAGGAUGACCAGCCACACUGGAACUGAGACACGGUCCAG